AGUGAACGCUGGCGGCGUGCCUAAUACAUGCAAGUCGAACGACCGCACGAUAAGCUUUCUUCUCUGCUGUUAGCGGCGGACGGGCGAGUAACACAUACAUCACCAUCUUCUAAUACUGGGAUGACUUCGUGGAACCGCAUCUAAUACCAGCUAAUACUACCAACCGCUUAGUUCAAGAGUUCUUGACGCUCUGCCUGUUAAUUAUAGCUGGAUCCGCGUUGCAUUAGCUAGUUGGUAAGGUAACGGCUUACCAAGGCAACGAUGCAUAGCUGAGCUGAGAGGAUGAUCAGCCACACUGGAACUGAGACACGGUCCAGACUCCUACGGGAGGCAGCAGUGGGGAAUAUUGCGCAAUGGGCGCAAGCCUGACGCAGCAACGCCGCGUGAGUGAUGAAGGUCUUCGGAUCGUAAAACUCUUUUGUUAGGGAAGAACAUAUGUAUAUUUAAAUGUGGACAUUCUGACGGUACCUAAAGAGAAAGCAACGGCUAACUACGUG
RNAcentral lists this ribosomal RNA (497 nucleotides) under uncultured bacterium. RNAcentral describes it as "partial 16S ribosomal RNA". It matches the Rfam family "Bacterial small subunit ribosomal RNA", at positions 29 to 507 of the family's 1533-position model. The record is from RNAcentral.